RNAcentral lists this ribosomal RNA (274 nucleotides) under uncultured bacterium. RNAcentral describes it as "partial 16S ribosomal RNA". It matches the Rfam family "Bacterial small subunit ribosomal RNA", at positions 523 to 796 of the family's 1533-position model. The record is from RNAcentral.
AUACGGAGGGUGCAAGCGUUGUUCGGAAUCACUGGGCGUAAAGGGCGCGCAGGCGGUUUGGUAAGUCAGAUGUGAAAGCCCACGGCUCAACCGUGGAAGUGCAUUUGAAACUGCCAGACUUGAGUACCAGAGGGGAAAGUGGAAUUCCCGGUGUAGAGGUGAAAUUCGUAGAUAUCGGGAGGAAUACCGGUGGCGAAGGCGACUUUCUGGCUGGAUCCUGACGCUGAGGCGCGAAAGCGUGGGGAGCAAACAGGAUUAGAAACCCUAGUAGUCC